This 688-nucleotide ribosomal RNA is filed under the name uncultured bacterium. RNAcentral's name for it is "bacterial SSU rRNA". It matches the Rfam family "Bacterial small subunit ribosomal RNA", at positions 140 to 805 of the family's 1533-position model. The record is from RNAcentral.
GGGACAACAGUUCGAAAGGACUGCUAAUACCGAAUGUUGUAGAGUUUCCGCAUGGGGAUCCUACUAAAGGUGGCCUCUACUUGUAAGCUAUCGCUUUACGAUGGGUCUGCGUCUGAUUAGCUAGUUGGUGGGGUAACGUCCUACCAAGGCGACGAUCAGUAGCCGGUCUGAGAGGAUGAACGGCCACAUUGGAACUGAGACACGGUCCAGACUCCUACGGGAGGCAGCAGUGGGGAAUCUUCCGCAAUGGGCGCAAGCCUGACGGAGCAACGCCGCGUGAGUGAAGAAGGGUUUCGACUCGUAAAGCUCUGUUGUCGGGGACGAAUGUCAGGACUCAAAAUAUGGGUUCUGAAUGACGGUACCUGACGAGGAAGCCACGGCUAACUACGUGCCAGCAGCCGCGGUAAUACGUAGGUGGCGAGCGUUGUCCGGAAUUAUUGGGCGUAAAGGGAGCGCAGGCGGGAAGGUAAGUCUAUCUUAAAAGUGCGGGGCUCAACCCCGUGAGGGGAUGGAAACUAUCUUUCUUGAGUGCAGGAGAGGAAAGCGGAAUUCCUAGUGUAGCGGUGAAAUGCGUAGAUAUUAGGAGGAACACCAGUGGCGAAGGCGGCUUUCUGGACUGUAACUGACGCUGAGGCUCGAAAGCGUGGGGAGCGAACAGGAUUAGAUACCCUGGUAGUCCACGCCGUAA